AGAGAGAAAGAGAAGAGGGAGGAAGAGAGGAGAGAGAAAGAGAGUAGGGAGGAAGAGAGGAGAAAGAAAGAGAAGGAGAGAGAGAGAGAGAGAAAUUUAAAGAGAAAGAGAAGGAGAGAGAGAGAAAUUUAAAGAGAAAGAGAAGGAGAGAGAGAGAGAAAUUUAAAGAGAAAGAGAAGGAGAGAGAGAGAGAAAUUUAAAGAGAAAGAGAAGGAGAGAGAGUGAUUUACAGAGAAAGAGAAUGAGAUAUACAUAGAGAGAAAAGAGAAUACAAUCCUCCCUGUUCCUCAGAGUGAAGAGAGGAGAGAAGAAAGCCGCGCGAGGAAAGGGGAGGCGAAGGAAGCCUGGUGAUGGGUUCGCAGCCGACGCCUCAGGGGGUUUCAGCGCAGCAGCCAUACUCCGACUGUCCCUUCCCGUCUCCUUCCCUGAAACGCCUCCGUGCUCCGCCAGUCGCCCAGAUGCCUUUCUCUCGCCGGGAGCGGUGCGAGGCGGAGGAGGACGACUUCGAGGAUGUGCUCGUUUUAAUAUAAUAACAAAGUCUGGUGAAGCAGCUCUAAUAAGGGAAUGAACGAAACAGGAGUAGCCGUAGUAACGCCCCACUCCGCUCCUAACAGGA
Molecule: long non-coding RNA, 616 nt
Organism: Penaeus indicus
Lineage: Eukaryota; Metazoa; Arthropoda; Malacostraca; Decapoda; Penaeidae
Exons: 3
Source: RefSeq, a predicted model, not a curated record